UGUCCCGUAGAGGCGAGUCCUUUUGUGACUGAUCCACGUAUUUUGAUUGUUUUGUUUUGUUUCUUCUUUCUUCCUGCUGUAUCGUGUGGUACUGAAAAGAUCUUGGGAGGUGGUGUUCUAGCUAGACAUCCAUCCAACAUUGUAGGUGAAGGAUCAAAAGUCUUUUGGCUGGUUACCUGAAAAAUUAAACUAUGAGUAGACAAGUCCUAGUAGUGGUCGUCAAUCAGAGGAAAAUAAAGAACUGAUAUUAGAAAAAUGAAAAUGAG
RNAcentral lists this long non-coding RNA (266 nucleotides) under Elaeis guineensis (African oil palm). RNAcentral describes it as "long non-coding RNA (EGUI_LNC076491)". The record is from RNAcentral. Lineage: Eukaryota; Viridiplantae; Streptophyta; Magnoliopsida; Arecales; Arecaceae.